This 520-nucleotide ribosomal RNA is filed under the name Streptosporangium terrae. RNAcentral's name for it is "bacterial SSU rRNA". It matches the Rfam family "Bacterial small subunit ribosomal RNA", at positions 31 to 581 of the family's 1533-position model. Lineage: Bacteria; Bacillati; Actinomycetota; Actinomycetes; Streptosporangiales; Streptosporangiaceae. The record is from RNAcentral.
GAACGCUGGCGGCGUGCUUAACACAUGCAAGUCGAGCGGAAAGGCCCUUCGGGGUACUCGAGCGGCGAACGGUGAGUAACACGUGAGCAACCUGCCCCUGACUCUGGGAUAAGCCCGGGAAACUGGGUCUAAUACCGGAUACGACCGCUUCCCGCAUGGGAUGGCGGUGGAAAGUUUUUUCGGUUGGGGAUGGGCUCGCGGCCUAUCAGUUGUUGGUGGGGUAGUGGCCUACCAAGGCGACGACGGGUAGCCGGCCUGAGAGGGCGACCGGCCACACUGGGACUGAGACACGGCCCAGACUCCUACGGGAGGCAGCAGUGGGGAAUAUUGCGCAAUGGGCGAAAGCCUGCAGCGACGCCGCGUGGGGGAUGACGGUCGGGUUGUAAACCUCUUUCAGCAGGGACGAAGUUGACGUGUACCUGCAGAAGAAGCGCCGGCUAACUACGUGCCAGCAGCCGCGGUAAUACGUAGGGCGCAAGCGUUCCGGAAUUAUUGGGCGUAAAGAGCUCGUAGGUGGCUU